This 3189-nucleotide ribosomal RNA is filed under the name Candidatus Roizmanbacteria bacterium. RNAcentral describes it as "23S ribosomal RNA". It matches the Rfam family "Bacterial large subunit ribosomal RNA". The record is from RNAcentral. Lineage: Bacteria; Candidatus Roizmaniibacteriota.
GAGAGAUAAGGCCAAUGGCGAAUGCCUUGGCAGUUUGAGCCGAAGAAGGACGCGUGAUAGAGCGCGAAAACAACGAUGAGCCCUUAAUCAGGCGUUAUCAAUCGUUGGUUUCCGAAUGGAGCAAUCCCCCGGCGCGCAAUCGUCGGGAUCCCGAUACCGCAAGGUCGUCGGGAGGGGAACCCGGUGAACCGAAACAUCCAAGUAACCGGAGGAAAAGAAAACAAAUAAUAUCCUGAGAGCAAUCAAAGGAUGUGAUUCCGUUAGUAGCGGCGAGCGAAAGCGGAAAAGCCUAAAUCCCUCUUCGCUCCAUGCUUCGUAUUGGAGUUUUAAAGAAACAAAACCUAUCUCGGAUUAUAUUUGAGAUUGGGACUUAACUUUAGCUCCAAACGGAGUGAGGAGCGAAGAGGGAGGUUGCGGGACCGCAUCUGGGAGUAUUUUUUGGUAGGAAAAUGGUCUGGAAAGGCCAACCAUAGCAAGUGACAGUCUUGUAUCUAAAACUGAAAAAUACCCCUGCGGGCUUCCCAAGUACCACGAGUCACGGCAAACCUUGUGGGAAACUGGGUCGGUCACGAUCCAAGGCUAAAUACUCAAACUGACCGAUAGUGAACUAGUACCGUGAGGGAAAGGUGAAAAGUCCCCCGGUGAGGGGAGUGAAAUAGAAACUGAAACCAUUGGCUAACAAACAGGUAAAGCAUCUCGUAUUCACUCGAUGCUCAAAAUGACAAAGUAAAAUUUAAAAAAUAUUAAUUUUGCACUUUGAAUUUUAAAUUUGAACACCGAGCGAAUGCGAGAUGUGAUACCGUGCCUAUUGAAGAAUGAGCCAGCGAGUAUCCUGAUGCGCGCUUGUUUAACCGCGUUUGACGCGGGAAGGCAAAGCGAAAGCGAGUCCUAAUAGGGCGUCUUUUGCGCCGUCAGGAUGACCCGAAACUGGGUGAGCUAACCAUGAACAGGGUGAACUCCGAUGAAAAUCGGGGGGAGGCCCGAACCCGUUGUCGGUGAAAUGGCAUGGGAGGAUUUGUGGUUAGGGGUAAUAUGCCUAUCGAACCCAGAGAUAGCUGGUUCUCCCCGAGAUAUAUUUAGGUAUAGCCUUCUGCUAACUGCCGUGGGGUAGAGCCACUAGAUAUCCCGCCGAGCCUAGUGCGAGGCGGGACAACUAAACUCCGAAUACACGGUUUAAAGCAGAGGAGUCAGUCCUGUCGGGAUAAGCCGACAUGGGCGAGAGGGAAACAUCCCAGACUCCCGUCUAAGGUUCCUAAAUGAUUUUUAAGUAAUAAAGGCCGUUGGGUUUCCAACACAGUAGGGAGGUUGGCUCAGAAGCAGCCACCCUUUAAAGAGUGCGUAACAGCUCACCUAAAUAAUCCCGCCUUUGGCGGGAUGGAAACACGGCGCCAAAAAUGAACGGAAUUAAAAAAUCUACCGAAGACGGAGCUCUGCAUCGUAUGGUGCAGGGGGUAGGGGAGCUUUCCUGUUGCUGUGAAGCUGAAUCGUAAGGUUUGGUGGAGCGGCAGGAAGUGAGAAUGCUGGCAUGAGUAGUGUUUCUCCCGAUGAAAACUCGGGAUGCCGAAAACCUAAGGUUUCCUCAGCAACGUCAAUCAGCUGAGGGUUAGUCGGUACUAAGUUUGGCGCCUACGGGUGUCUGACGAUGUACAAGUCGUUAAUAUUCGACUACUUAACUUUAAACGCUAUUACUUGGUUGGCGACGAAGUUUGAUAGUCCCGAUCCGCCAUUGGCGGAUCGAAGUUUCAAGUCUUCCUGACUUUGUCAGGGUGGCGAGAUGCGAAGUAUAUCCGACGUAAAGUCGGGUAGUCGGGACGACUUAAGCUUCCGGGAAAAGUCAGCCAAGGAGUUUUGAGUUAAACCGUACCGCAAACCGACACAGGUAGGUUGGUGGAGUACACCAAGGCAUACGGGUAAGGGUGGUUCAAGGAACUCGGCAAAAAAGCUGAGCGUAAGCUUUGCAAGAUGCUCUUCCUGCACUAUACGGUGCAGGACACAGCUAAAGAUUGUCAACCGACUGUUUAGCAAAAACUCAGGUUCCUGCCAACCCCAAUAGGGGACGUAUAGGAGCUGAGACCUGUCCGGUACUGGUAAGUUAAUCGUUGGGGUUGACCCCGACUUAGUCGGGGAAGGCUCUGGCGCAAGCUCCAGUGAACGACAGCUCUAACCCUGAGAGUUCUAAGGUAGCGUAGCCCCUUGCCGGGUAAGUUCCGGCCCGCAUGAAAGGUUUAACGAGUUGACAACUGUCUUGAACUGCUGCCCGACGAAAUUGAAAUGGCUGUGAAGAUGCGGCCUACCUGCACAUGGACAAAAAGACCCCGGGAGCUUUACUGAAACUAGGUAUUGGUGGAAGGAGAUCAACUGUUGAGCGUAGGAGGGAGGGGAACACCUUUUGGUGUUCCCCGUCAAUGAAACACCUCUCUUUGAGCUUUUUUCACCUUAUCCCGCCUAAGGCGGGAAACAGUGCUUGGCGGUCAGUUUAACUGGGGCGGUUUCCUCCAAAAAAGUAACGGAGGAGCGCAAAGGUCAGCUAGCUGCGGAUGGAAAUCGCAGUGUUAGUGUAAACGCAUAAGCUGGCUUAACUGCGAGACAUACAAGUCGAGCCCGUGAAGUAGAUCGCUUUGCGAUCUCUUCAGGGCCCUGAAGCGAACUUUGUUCUACUUCAGGGCAGAUGCGAAAGCAGGCGUUAGUGAUCCCCCGUCUGGCAGUGAUUUGCCGGCGGGGCUUAACGGAUAAAAGCUACCCCGGGGAUAACAGGCUAGUCACGCCCGAGAGUUCAUAUCGACGGCGUGGUUCGGCACCUCGAUGUCGGCUCAUCGCAUCCUGGAGCUGGAGUCGGUUCCAAGGGUUGGGCUGUUCGCCCAUUAAAGCGGUACGCGAGCUGGGUUCAGAACGUCGUGAGACAGUUCGGACUCUAUCCUGUGCAGGCGAUUGGACUUUUGAAGAGGGGUCUUCCACAGUACGAGAGGACCUGGAAGAGGAGAUCCCUGGUGUACCGGUUGUCUCAAAAGGGCAUUGCCGGGUAGCUAAAUCUCCAUUCGAUAAGCACUGAAUGCAUCUCAAGUGCGAAGCGAACCUCAAGAUUAAAAGUCCUCCGCCAUUUGGCGGAUCAGCUUCCCCGCAGAUUACGGGGUUGAUAGGCGUCAGGUGUAAGCACCGCAAGGUGUUUAGCCGAGACGUACUAAGUAGCGA